CUGGGCUAAGAUUCGCUUA
RNAcentral lists this microRNA (19 nucleotides) under Caenorhabditis remanei. RNAcentral describes it as "crm-miR-86-3p". Its record names the gene crm-miR-86-3p. The record is from miRBase by way of RNAcentral. Lineage: Eukaryota; Metazoa; Nematoda; Chromadorea; Rhabditida; Rhabditidae.